Molecule: long non-coding RNA, 943 nt
Organism: Leopardus geoffroyi (Geoffroy's cat)
Lineage: Eukaryota; Metazoa; Chordata; Mammalia; Carnivora; Felidae
Exons: 2
Source: RefSeq, a predicted model, not a curated record
UCUCCCUCUCUCUCAAAAAUAAAUAAACAUUAAAAUUUUUUUUAAAUAAGAAUGUAGGCUUAUAGCAAUCUUAAUUUAUGUUCACUUAAAAGAUAAACAACAGAAAAGAUAACAACAUAAGAUAUAUAGUGUUUAUGACCCAUUUAAAGAUAAAAGUUUGGAGGGACAGCCAGGAUCAAAAUGCCAUAAACCAUAGGCCCUCACGCUACUUAAACACUACAGAAUAAUAAAAUGUGCUGCUGAGAGAUUCACUGUUAUAUGUUAUCAUAAGUAGGACUGAAUCAAUAGCAUAAUCAUAAAGGUCCUAUUUUUCUUCCUAAAAAGGGCAUGCUCCUUAACAGUAACUGCUUUUUUCAAUUUGCAACAAUGCAAUACACUAGUCAAACAUUAACUUUCUUAAGAACAUAGUACUGGGGAAAGGUGGAGUAGAUAGAGAAACACUUUAACCUGAUUUGACCACAACUAACUAAUCUAUUCUGUCAGUCUAAAUUAAAAAAAAAAGAAAGAAAACGCUUUCUACCUCUGAACUCAUAAAUUUGGGGUGUGAGAUGUAUCAUGGAUUCUCAAGUCAACUUCUGCUGCUGGGAGCAUAUGGCCUCACAUUCUCUGAAGUGAGGUGGCAGGAACCGUUAGUUGAAGUGCUGCUGUUGAUUUUCAAUGGUUGUGAGCAUGCAUAAGGAGGCAGGUAAUUUCCCCCCAUAAUCAGGUCCCAGAUCACUUAGUCCAUUAGAACUUUAUAUGAUUUAAAAAAAAAAAAAAAAAAAACAACCUUGACCUGCACCUGGACCCAGAGUGCCACUUUGGUACAGAGUGUCACUCGGGAACAAGGAGAAGACAGGAGCUAUCCUGUUUGCAUCCGUGCUUUUAUACGUUGCUUUAUUCCAGGUACUACUUAUGGUGCUUAAUUCUGAAUAAAGAUCUUUAAGAAGGUCAAAAACCAGAG